CCCUUAGAUGUUCUGGGCAGCACGCGCGCUACAAUGGGUGGAAGAACGUGUUACUGCCUCCGAAAGUAGGGGUGAAUCACGAAUUCUUGCCCGUGAAUGGGAUAGUUUGUUGCAAUUUUCGGACUUGAACUAGGAAUCCCUUGUAAACAUGCUCAAGAAUAGCGUGUUGAAUACGUCCCUGCCGUUUGUACACACCGCCCGUCGUUUCUUCCGACUGAUACUCAUUGUGAGUUGCAAGGACCCUUUAUUGGGAAAUUGCUGCAAAUGCUUUGUAUUGGAGGAAGAAAAAGUCGUAAC
RNAcentral lists this ribosomal RNA (297 nucleotides) under uncultured eukaryote. RNAcentral's name for it is "partial 18S ribosomal RNA". It matches the Rfam family "Eukaryotic small subunit ribosomal RNA", at positions 1470 to 1795 of the family's 1831-position model. The record is from RNAcentral.